GAUGAACGCUGGCGGCGUGCCUAAUACAUGCAAGUCGAGCGAACGGACGAGAAGCUCGCUUUUCUGAUGUUAGCGGCGGACGGGUGAGUAACACGUGGAUAACCUACAUAUAAGACUGGGAUAACUUCGGGAAACCGGAGCUAAUACCGGAUAAUAUUUUGAACCGCAUGGUUCAAAAGUGAAAGACGGUCUUGCUGUCACUUAUAGAUGGAUCCGCGCUGCAUUAGCUAGUUGGUAAGGUAACGGCUUACCAAGGCAACGAUGCAUAGCCGACCUGAGAGGGUGAUCGGCCACACUGGAACUGAGACACGGUCCAGACUCCUACGGGAGGCAGCAGUAGGGAAUAUUCCACAAUGGGCGAAAGCCUGACGGAGCAACGCCGCGUGAGUGAUGAAGGUCUUCGGAUCGUAAAACUCUGUUAUUAGGGAAGAACAGAUGUGUAAGUAACUGUGCACAUCUUGACGGUACCUAAUCAGAAAGCCACGGCUAACUACGUG
RNAcentral lists this ribosomal RNA (497 nucleotides) under uncultured bacterium. Its description in RNAcentral is "partial 16S ribosomal RNA". It matches the Rfam family "Bacterial small subunit ribosomal RNA", at positions 28 to 507 of the family's 1533-position model. The record is from RNAcentral.